AACGAACGCUGGCGGCAUGCCUAACACAUGCAAGUCGAACGAGACCUUCGGGUCUAGUGGCGCACGGGUGCGUAACGCGUGGGAACCUGCCCUUAGGUUCGGAAUAACUCCCCGAAAGGGGUGCUAAUACCGGAUAAUGUCUUCGGACCAAAGAUUUAUCGCCUUUGGAUGGGCCCGCGUUGGAUUAGCUAGUUGGUAGGGUAAAAGCCUACCAAGGCGACGAUCCAUAGCUGGUCUGAGAGGAUGAUCAGCCACACUGGGACUGAGACACGGCCCAGACCCCCAGGGGAGGCAGCAGGGGGGAAUAUGGAAAAAGGGGCGAAGGCCUGACCCAGAAAUGCCGGGGGAGUGAUGAAGGCCUUGGGGUUGUAAGGCUUUUUUCCCCGGGAUGAUAAUGAAAGUACCGGGAAAAUAAGCCCCGGCUAACUCCGU
RNAcentral lists this ribosomal RNA (432 nucleotides) under uncultured bacterium. RNAcentral's name for it is "partial 16S ribosomal RNA". It matches the Rfam family "Bacterial small subunit ribosomal RNA", at positions 29 to 506 of the family's 1533-position model. The record is from RNAcentral.